RNAcentral lists this unclassified non-coding RNA (193 nucleotides) under uncultured fungus. RNAcentral describes it as "sequence contains ITS1". The record is from RNAcentral. Lineage: Eukaryota; Fungi.
UUCCGUAGGUGAACCUGCGGAAGGAUCAUUACCGAGCUAUGCCCGCAAGGGCAGACCUCCCACCCUUUGUUUACCCUCCGUUUUGUUGCUUUGGCGGGCCGUUCUCACGGCCGUCGGCUCCCCGCUGGUGUGUGCCCGCCGAAGAUCCUCUAACCCUAACCUGUUUCUGUGUUUGUCCGAGUCCUAUAAUAUU